RNAcentral lists this non-coding RNA (22 nucleotides) under Arabidopsis thaliana (thale cress). Lineage: Eukaryota; Viridiplantae; Streptophyta; Magnoliopsida; Brassicales; Brassicaceae. The record is from RNAcentral.
CAACAAAGGGUACAACAAUUAC